CAUUGAUUAAAAAAGAAAUUAAAAUAUUCCCAAAGGCCGCAUCUAUAUUUCUCAAAAGUCAUAACAAUCGUUUAUCUCGCGAACAAUCCAAUCAAUACCUUUCCCCCCUUCGAUCGACUUGCGAAAUCAUUUCCGCCCCCUAACUUAAUCGGAACCCUAGAUUUUCUACCCGGCCAUGGCGACCGAUUCCCAAGAUUCUCACCGCAAGCACAGCCGCUCUCUCACCGAUGAUGAUUCACCGGAAAAAUCCAAGCGCCACAAGCACCGCCACCAUCGCCGCCAUCGUCAUCACCACCGCCGCAGCUCCAAGCACAAAAAAGAUGAAAUCAAGGCAGAAAACGUCGAGGAAGUAGCGGAGGAGGUGACCAAGCCGCCUCAUCUUGUCGAUUAUGAUAUGGAGGAAGGUGAGAUAGUUGACGAUGAAGGUGGUGUUGUUGCCGAAGCUGAAAAGAAGGUUGGUUCGGAUGUCGAAUCAGGUGAAUUUAAGGCUGGAGAUGAUUCUUUCAUGAAUGUUGAUGCUGCUGUAGAAAGUCCUGGAAGCAAUCAUAUUGUGACGAGAAAUGAUAAGAGCAGGAAUUCUACUAAGUAUUUGAAGUCACCCAGAAGUGAUCAUAGUGGCAGUGAGAGUGAGGAAGAUGGUAUCUGCUCUCAUCACGACGAAUUUCCAGUGUUGGAGAGGGUGGCUAAUGGUGAUCAUGUUAGUAGGUCGAGUAAGGGAGAAUCUAAGUCAGGUACAAGACACAUGUCUCCUUUAAAAGAACGCAGCAAGGAAAGAGACAAGCAUAGGUCCGGCAGUAAACAACAGAUCCUGGAAUCAAUGGAGUUGGAUGAAGAUGACCUUGGAGGUAGAAGAAAUUCCUAUUCUCAUAAGGUCAGGGAGGUCCGUCGCGAAUCAACAUACCGUUCUCCCUCUCAUGGACGGUACCAUUUAGAGAUUAGUGACAAGAGCAGGUCCGUGUCUCCUGACCGAACUAGGGAAAGAGAGAAUUCACAGAGCAUUGUGCACGAGAGGUAUUCAAAAACUAAGCAUCGUCAUGAAAGGGAUGAAAGGCUUUGUGACAAUGGCAGCGUUGGUUAUGAGGUGGAUGAAGAAAAGGAUAGUCGUGCAGGUACAUAUUACAGAGCUAAUGGUGGAGAGAAAGCCAAGGAUAAAGGAGGUGAGAGAAGUUCCAUCUAUAACAGGUCUACUUUGCGUGACGGAAAGCAUGAGGAUGGUGAUUCUAGAGACAUAGAGACAGAGGAGAAGAUGUACCAGGAUAAGGAACAGUUGGAUAGAGAGCGAACUAGAGAGAGGAGUGAAAGGGAUCGCAAUAGGGAUUGGGUAAAUGAACGAGAUAGGAUCCGGAGCAGGGACCAUAAACUGGAGAAGGAUUCUGUUAGGGCCAGGGAGAUUCCAAGAGAGACAAAGACUGAUGUUGACUGGAAUAGAGAUCGUGGUGGGAGUAGGGAUAGGGAUUAUGAAAGGGAAAGAGGGAGUAGGGAUAGGGAUUAUGAAAGGGAAAGAGGGAGUAGGGAUAGGGAUUAUGAAAGGGAAAGAAGAAGGGAGAAAGAUCGUGAAAGGAGCCGAGACAGGAACCUAGAAAAGGAACGGAGGAGAGAUGAUAGCAUAUCCAUGUACAAAGAUAGAGAAUGGGACAGGUCUCGAAAGUUGGAGAAUGAUAGGGGAAGAGACAAAUAUAGUCACAGAGAUAGACAUAGAGACAAGGCUAGGGAUGAUGAGAGUGAUAGGAGUAGAAGGUACCAUAAAUAUGAUGAUCGUGAUGAUGUUUAUGGUACUCGGGAUAGGCGCUGUGGUUAUGAUGAAGCAGAAUGUUUCCAGGACAGAAAGUUGAAACAUGACUCAGAUAUAGCUCAGUCCUCUAAGGAUGAUUCUCUGAAGUAUAACAAUGAUGGAAUAAACGGGGAUGAUGAUGACAAAAAGGAGUAUCAGGAUAUGCUGGAGUUGAAGACUGCAGAGCAUGAAGAGGAUGAUAUAGAAAAAAUAAAGGAGGAGAGUAGAAGGCGAAGAGAAGCUAUUCUUCAAAAAUAUAAAGCUAAAUCGUUGCAGCAGCAGCAGGCUGUGCAUCAAGUCCUCAAAGUAUCAAAUGAGGAGCUGGCAGAACAGCCUUCUCAAAAGUUGGCUCCUGCAAGUGCUGGUCAACAAGAAAAUAGUGAUGUCAAGCGUGAUGGUAAAGAUGCUUUUGUAGUUGGGACACCGGGGAUAUCUGCUGCGGGAAAUGAUUUAACUGCUGCAGAAAGGAGUACUGUUGUUCUUGGGGAGGGCUCUCCUAAGAGUGAAAGGUCAAAUGAUAUGUUCUGUGAUGAUAUAUUCGGAGAUUCUCCUGCCGGAAUUCGUAAGAUGGGUAAGGGAGAUGGCCUGCCUUUUGAACAGAGUGGUCUUCAUGAUAAUUGGGAUGAUCCAGAGGGAUAUUAUAGUAAGUCUGAUGAUCCAGAGGGACAGUUGUGUUCAGGUUUUCGGUUUGGGGAAGUACUUGAUGGUCGCUAUGAAAUCACAGCAGCACAUGGUAAAGGUGUAUUCUCAACUGUUGUUCGGGCAAAGGAUCUUAAAGCUGGAAUUGGAGAUCCAGAGGAAGUGGCUAUCAAAAUUAUACGAAACAAUGAAACUAUGUUUAAAGCAGGGACCGAAGAGUUGGGGAUUUUGAGGAGGCUUGUUGAUGCAGAUAAAGAUGAUCGGCGUCACUGUGUUCGCUAUCUUACAAAUUUCCAUUAUCGAAAUCAUCUUUGUAUAGUAUUUGAAUCCCUUCAUAUGAAUCUGCGUGAGGUUCUAAAGAAGUUUGGUCGUAAUAUUGGCCUUAAGCUUACUGCUGUGAGAACCUAUGCCAAGCAACUAUUUAUUGCGUUGAAGCAUCUCAGAAACUGCAAAGUUCUACAUUGUGACAUAAAACCGGAUAACAUGCUGGUAAAUGAUACUAAAAAUGUGCUGAAGCUUUGUGAUUUUGGAAAUGCAAUGCUGGCUGGUAAAAAUGAAAUCACGCCGUACCUUGUGAGCCGUUUUUAUCGCGCACCUGAGAUAAUUCUUGGCUUGCCCUAUGAUCAUCCCAUGGACAUUUGGUCAGUUGGCUGUUGUUUAUACGAGUUAUAUACUGGAAAAGUUCUUUUUCCAGGUCCCUCAAACAAUGAGAUGCUUCGUCUUCACAUGGAAUUGAAGGGUCCUUUCCCAAAGAAGAUGCUUCGCAAGGGAGCUUUCCUUGAACAGCAUUUUGACCAGGAUUUAAAUUUUCUUGCCACAGAAGAAGAUCCUGUCACUAAGAAGACUAUUAGGAAGCUGAUUGUUAAUAUUAAGCCAAAAGAUGUUGGUAACAUCAUUAAAGGUUCUCCAGGCGAAGAUUCAAAAAUGUUAGCCAACUUCAAGGAUCUGCUGGAUAAAAUGUUUGUCCUAGAUCCAGAUAAAAGACUAACUGUCUCACAAGCUUUAAAUCACCCAUUUAUUACGGGCAAGUGAAUUCAGAUGCUGAUUUUCUGAGUCCAGAAAUGCUGUAGCACUAGAUUUUUGUACAUUCCAGUCUUAGUUUAUAUCAGACUCUAAUCAUUGGGAAUUUAUCUGUCUAUCUUUUCUGCACUACUGUGGGCCUGAUAUUGAGGGAGAUUGCUUCUGGCGUCAUUCAAGUUGGACUCAGAAGGCUGAUAUCUGUUGGGGAUCACUUACUGGCAAUUCUCAAUGGAUUGUGUUCUGUUUCUAUUGAAACUUCCAGUUCUUUGGGGCAACCUCCAGUCUCUAUAUGCCUCGAAGGCACCCUGGAGAAGGUAUCUUUGUUGUUUACUGGGGUUAUAAACCCUUAUUAGUUUGACAUAUGACCUAUUCGUGAAUUACCCUUGUAAAUAAAACUGUCAAUUAAAGUUUCCAUUGCUGGACAAUUAUUUUUUGAUGGCUUUGUAUGCCUAACCUCCCAAAAAUAGCUUAUCUGAUUUUUUUUAUAUAGUUGAGCGCAAUUACUCAUUAUGUAACAAUACCAUUUUUUUGGUUUUUUCUAUGUCUUCUCCUAUUAUUUUGUUUUCUUAUUCUUUUUAUUCCUCAUGUCUUAAUUGUUCUAAUGAAUGUGUUACAUCUGCUCUAUGCUCGGUUGUUGUGGAAGCUUUGGCUCUGGAGCUUGGGUAUGUCUGGUGCUGCUUCUCAUGAAAAUUAUAUCAGAGAAUUUCCCAAGCUACUGGAGCUCCAUGUAAGUUUCCUCUUUAUAUGCAACCCCUAUCUAUCUUCUUGUUUUAUGAGUUCUUGUUAGCUUGUAUGCCGCAAGUCUCUUGGUUAUAUGUCAAAACUUCCGUGCUCUUAUCCUUUGCUGAUCUACCACAUGUUAGUACGUUAACUACGUCUAUGAGAUCGCACAAUGGUAGUACUGAACUUAAUUGAUGAUUAAGAAUACUUUGUAGCCGUUGAUAUCUUCUGUUAUUAUUCCCGGAAAUAAAUAGCAGAUGUAAGCUAUAUAUGCAGCUUCCCGUAUGCUAGUGGAUGAAAGUGCUCCUUUUUUUAGCAUCUUCGUUGACAUGAACACUUGCAUUGAAAUAUUUAGCAUGACUACUCAAAUUAUUGUUUGGCCUGUGACACUUGAGGCUAGCUUUUGAUUGUUCUGUAGGAGGUUAACAUUGUUCUAGCAAGACUGGCCUUAGACAGAGAGAUUGGGUAGCUUUUUUGUAUUUCUUUGAAUUCCAUCUAACUGUGCAAUAUUUCCUCCGUUGAAGGGUAAAAUUUAGAAGAAAAUACAAAAGAAAAAAUGAAUGUUUUGAAAUCAAAGGGAGAAAAAAUAAUAUUUAUUCUUACCCUGCCGGCGUAUUCCUUUCAUAAAUGAGUAAUGACCGCUAUAGAGUCAUUAUGUUACCUUUGGUCAGAAUCACCAUUUUUUGUUUAUUGACGUUUUUACCUAUGUUACUUUACUCUUCAUUUCACCUCAAGGACGGAUCCUAGACACUCGGCCAUGGGUACGACUAGACCUGUCAAACGGGUCGGGUUGUAAAAAAUUAUUUUCGGGUUGAAUUGGGUGGGUCACUUUCGGGUUUGAGUUUACAAAUGCUUGUUCAAAACCCUGAACUUUCGGGUUCGGGUCGACCCAAUGGGUUGAGAGAUUUUAAAACGCGCAUUAUAUUUUCAUUAAUUUAGGUGAUAAAUAUACAAAAUUUGGAUACAAAUUAACAAAUUUUCCUACCCAAGUCUAUAUUUAGUCAAAUUCAACCUUAAAAUGGCGUAUAUUCAAAUUAAAAUCAUAUUACACACAACAAUAGUAAAAACACCGUGUUUAUUAUGCUUAAAUUUUCUCAUAAUUUCAUUUAUUACUAUAAAUACACUGAUUUUCAAUCGGUCGGGUCCAAAACGGGUUCGGUUGGGUUUUGACCCAAUACUUUUCGGGUUGCUUGGGUUCGGAUAAAAUCGGGUUACGGGUCACAAAAUCUUGUUCAACACUCAGUAUUUACGAGUCGGUUUUCGGGUCGGGUCGAUUUUUUACAGGUCUAGUACGGACACUUCAUUUUCGACCGAAGCGCUGAUUUUUUUUCACAAAAUAGCCGAGUCGAACACUUGGCCCGCAUGGGUCCCCGAGUCUGAGUAACGUAGCUUUUUACUAUAACAGUAUUUAGUGGUAGUAAGGCAAUUAAAAUCAGUAAUAGGUAUAUUUUCUUUGAGGUGAAUUCAACUUUGAGCUUUACUAUCUUUCAGUUUCAGACUUUCAGCUAUUGAUUUUUUGUAUAUGAAUAUAUUGCAUUAAUAGAGACCUCGUUCUAUUUGUUUUAGAUGUAAAUAACUGUAGCCUGUAGGUUAGUGGAUGAUCGUGGCCUUAGUUUUAAGAAGCAUACCUUAGGUGCAGAGGAGAGCCUAGAGCGCUGUUAUACCUCCACCAAAUAAGAGUGAGAGGAAAGAAUGAAUGAUCCUCGGUUUCUCACUACAGAGAAAGAGAUUGAGUGAAGAGAGAAUCAUAGCUGUGCAUAUAGCUAUGAGCACAGACUUGGGACUUCUGUUUUCAUGUUCAAAUUCUUGCUGUCCGAAACCCUGGUGGAAUUUUAGGAACUUAGUUUUAUUUGGGAUUUGCAAUAAAUCCAGACUGGAUCAUUGUAACUAAGGCUGGCAAUCAUGUGCCUAUAAAUAGUUGACCGAUGUGAAAAAAAGAAAAGGCCUGGUUCAGGAUUCAUGAGCUUUUAAUGGUGCAGGGACAUAAUUUUCACAGCUUCCUGUCUUAUGAGGUCUAUUCGUUCUUCCUCCCUUCCCCUUCUUCAGCAACUAACAAUCUCAAGGGCUUGCUUCGAUUAGGGGCAUGUAUUAAGUGGGUAAUAAAAUAAAAUAUUAUGUUUGUAGUUUUAAUAAAUGUGUAUCAUGUGGUUCUCAUAGGAGAUGAGCACUAGAUCCAGCUAUUUCUUGUCAUGUUAUAUAUUGGAUAACCUAUAUAUCAAGGAGGUGACAAAGCCAAAACCACUCUGAUCACUGUUCAAGCAAAUUUUGGAGCAAGUGGUGGAAAAUGAAGAUAUAUGGCUGAAGUGGAGUAUCUUUCUGCGGAAAAUUCUACACAGUGCCCUCCCUGUUAGAGAAUGCCUGAAUCAAAGAGGUAUGAAAAGUGUGAAAUAUCAAUGAGAAUAUGGAAGGCAAGUACUCUGGAGAUUGGAAUCGGUAUUAAACUGAGACAUCUUGCUACUUUUGACGAUGAAGAUGGUAGCGACUACACGAGAACUGUGGGAGUAACAACAGUCUCGUGUUAGACAGUCUCGGAGCUUUUUAUGUGUUAUCCAGUAGCUUAUCGACCAUCAAUUGCAUUAAAUCAAAAUUUAUGGUUCGGAAUAGUGUUUUUGAAUUAGGGCUUCAGAUUGGCAAAAACCUGGAUGCAAUUAAAUUAGGGAUUUUCCUUGAAAUUAUUUAUAAAGCCUAGUUAACUUUAAAAUUAAGGAAAUUUGGCUUUUCAUUUAUAACAUUGGAGUCGGAUAUGCUCAUAAACCCCAAUAGUGGUCGGGGCAGGCUGUGCUUGUGGAUCUCCUUGCCUAAGUUCUACAGUUUAGCACAAGGUGUGCUUUGUAAAAUUAAAGCUAAUGUACGGAAAAGAAAAAUGCAGGGAAGGGAAAGGAAAGGGAGGAAACUACCUUGUUUUGAUAAUAGGUUGGGCGAAGGAAAAGGAGGGAGAUGGAGGGAUCCGUUUUCCUUCCAUAUUUAAUGAACACCAUCCCUCCAAAGUAUGAGUGAUUUUGGAGAACAUGAAGCUCACUUUCCCCUCUCCCUUCUCCUCUUUCCCUUCCAUUUCCUUUAUUUUGUUGUCCAAAUAUUUUUUUCAUUUCUUUUGUUCGUUUUAUUGUGGGAAACAAUUUUCUCAAAUGUCAAGUGUUUGCUAAGGUAAGUAGGUAAUGUAGAGGUUAUUGUUUUAUCCCAGAACAAAGUUUCUACUUAAGGUGAGUUAAUUCUCAGAAGUUACAAUUUUAUUUUUGGUCACUUUUA
Molecule: RNA transcript, 7396 nt
Organism: Spinacia oleracea (spinach)
Lineage: Eukaryota; Viridiplantae; Streptophyta; Magnoliopsida; Caryophyllales; Amaranthaceae
Exons: 14
Source: RefSeq, a predicted model, not a curated record